UGGGGAAUAUUGCACAAUGGGCGAAAGCCUGAUGCAGCGACGCCGCGUGAGGGAUGACGGCCUUCGGGUUGUAAACCUCUUUCAGCAGGGACGAAGCGCAAGUGACGGUACCUGCAGAAGAAGCACCGGCUAACUCCGUGCCAGCAGCCGCGGUAAUACGUAGGGUGCAAGCGUUGUCCGGAAUUACUGGGCGUAAAGAGUUCGUAGGCGGUUUGUCGCGUCGUUUGUGAAAACCAGCAGCUCAACUGCUGGCUUGCAGGCGAUACGGGCAGACUUGAGUACUGCAGGGGAGACUGGAAUUCCUGGUGUAGCGGUGAAAUGCGCAGAUAUCAGGAGGAACACCGGUGGCGAAGGCGGGUCUCUGGGGAGUAACUGACGCUGAGGAACGAAAGCGUGGGUAGCGAACAGG
Molecule: ribosomal RNA, 409 nt
Filed under: bacterium
Lineage: Bacteria
Description: partial 16S ribosomal RNA
Rfam family: Bacterial small subunit ribosomal RNA
Source: RNAcentral